Molecule: RNA transcript, 2432 nt
Organism: Cornus florida
Lineage: Eukaryota; Viridiplantae; Streptophyta; Magnoliopsida; Cornales; Cornaceae
Gene name: DEAD-box ATP-dependent RNA helicase 22
Exons: 9
Source: RefSeq, a predicted model, not a curated record
UUUAGUUUAUUAUAACAAAGGGUGUGUCUGUGUGACAAGUUCUUUCUUGUCAUCUAUCUCAUGUCGUACUUCAAUCUCACCAUUUCAUAAAGAUACAAAAGUCUUUUUUAAGCUAUGAGAGGUUUUUAGCAUAACUAGGUUAAACCCUAAACAUAACAUACUCAAAAUUCACUCCUCCACACAACCUUCUUCAUCUUCGUUUCAAUUUGGGAACUGAACAGAGACGAUGAUUUUGCAGCGUCCGGUUUCCAUGCUCCACAUAUGCCGAUUAUCAUCUCCGCCCAAACUCUUCUCACCAUUCAAACCUUCUUCACUGUCUUCUUCUUCUUCUUGUAUCAGAAUAAGCCAAUCUUGGCUUAUCCAACCAAAUCGCAGUCGAAUUAGAUCAUUUGGAGCUGCCACUGCCACUGCCGCCGCCGCCACCACCACCGCCACCUCCGCCACCGCCACCGCAGACAAAAAAGGAGGCGGCACGUUCUUCGCUGAAGAUAGCGUUACCUGGACAUCACUUGGAAUAUCAUUUCGUCUGUCUCAAGCCCUCUCCAAUAUGGGUCUCCAAAGACCCUCUUUGAUUCAGGCUGCUUGUAUACCUGAUAUACUUUCAAGAAAUGAUGUGGUGGUUGCAGCCGAGACCGGUAGUGGUAAGACCCAUGGGUACCUAGUUCCCCUGAUUGAUAAGCUUUGUGAAGCAAAUGCUGAGGCUGAUCAGGAAACGAAUCAGCCCCAUCGACUUGGUCUUGUUCUUUGCCCAAAUGUCAUGUUAUGUGAGCAAGUGGUUAGAAUGGCAAACUCUCUUUGCGAUGAUAAUGGUGAGCGUCUUCUAAAUGUUGGAGCUGUUUGUGGGCGACAGGGUUGGCCAGCUGAUGAACCAGAUAUUAUUGUGUCGACCCCAGCUGCUCUUCUGAAUUACCUUUAUGCAAUUGACCAAGAGAGGCGCCGGCAUUUUAAUUUUAUACGUGGUGUGAAAUAUGUGGUGUUUGAUGAAGCAGACAUGCUGCUCUGUGGGAGCUUUCAGAAUCAAGUUAUUCGUCUGAUAAACAUGUUCCGUUUUGACGAAAAACUGUUGUCCCGGCCAAAAAGUUCGAUGGAAGAGAAAGCAUCCGACUCAACUACUGAUACCCCAAUGCAUGUUGAAAUAGAAGAUUAUAAAGACUUGCAAACAGAUGUCAUCCAGGAAGAGGAUGAAAAAGCUGAUGGUGUUACUGAUGUUGAAGUCCAAACAGAAGAAACUGAGGCUGGUUUAAACAAGAGAAAAGAUUGGAAAAGGGUGAGAAAGAUUUAUGAGCGUAGCAAGCAGUACAUUUUUGUUGCAGCCACCCUUCCUCUUAAUGGAAAGAAAACCGCAGGAGGAGUUUUGAAACAGAUGUUUCCAGAUGCCAGUUGGGUUAGCGGAAACUAUCUCCAUCAUCACAACCCAAGAUUGGAGCAGAAGUGGGUUGAAGUUACAGUUGAUACACAGGUUGAUGCUCUUAUAAAUGCUGUGAACCAAGGCUCUCAGGCUUUGGAUUCGGGGGAUGGAUUAAAGCGAACCAUGGUGUUUGCAAACACUGUUGAGGCUGUUGAAGCUGUGGCUAAGAUCUUGCUGGGAGCUGGGAUUGAAUGUUUCCGUUACCACAGUGAUAGUUCUCUUCAAGAACGUACAAAGAACUUGGUGGAGUUUCGACAAAAAGGUGGUGUUCUUGUGUGCACUGAUGCUGCCGCACGGGGUCUCGACAUUCCAAAUGUUUUUCAUGUUAUCCAGGCAGAAUUUGCUACAUCUGCUGUAGAUUUCUUGCAUAGGGUUGGUCGGACAGCUAGAGCAGGUCAACAUGGACUUGUUACAAGCCUGUACACUGAAUCCAACAGGGCUCUUGUUGGUGCAGUUCAUCAAGCAGGGAUAUUGGAUGAGCCCGUGGAGAAGGUAUUUAGCAGGAAAAGGGGUUUCCGUAAUAAGCUAAAGAAGAGAGGUAUCAGCAAAGUUGGUGGUGACACAUUAUCUGUUGGAGAGAGAAUGAUGGCAUAAACGAGGAUGGUUUGAGGGACUUGGUACGUAACCUGGAAAACAAACAAAACCCUCAUAUGUAUAUUGAAAGAUAUAAUUUAGUGAGGACUGACAGAAAAUAGAAUGUGACAGCAGACUUGUCCGAGUAGUCUAUAUUGUACAACGCUAGUGCCGCAAUGUUGAGCCAUGGAAACACAAGGACCAAGUCAAGGAUCACCAGAAGAACUACAUGGAGUGAAAAAAAAAAAUUACAGAGCUGUUUUUCGUAAAUUAAGCUUCAUUUACAGGAAGAUACAUAUGUUUGGAUAUCGUAGUUGGCAUUUUCUAUUAAAUUUUGAAGUCUUCUAAUUGGUAUUGAUGGGUAGAAUGUUGUACAAUGGUGCAAGAAACAGUUUUGCAUGUAUUUUUUUUUAUUUAUUUAUGAAAUUAAAGUUGUAUAGCCUUUAUUUGA